CUUAACCUGGGAAUGGCAUUCGAUACUGGUCAGCUAGAGUUUGGUAGAGGUAAGCGGAAUUCCGGGUGUAGCGGUGAAAUGCGUAGAUAUCCGGAGGAACAUCAGUGGCGAAGGCGGCUUACUGGACCAAAACUGACGCUCAGGCACGAAAGCGUGGGUAGCAAACAGGAUUAGAUACCCUGGUAGUCCACGCCCUAAACUAUGUCAACUAGCCGUUGGGUCCCCUUAAUAGGACUUAGUGGCGAAGCUAACGCGUUAAGUUGACCGCCUGGGGAGUACGGCCACAAGGUUGAAACUCAAAGGAAUUGACGGGGGCCCGCACAAGCGGUGGAGCAUGUGGUUUAAUUCGAUGCAACGCGAAGAACCUUACCAGCCCUUGACAUCCUCGGAACUUGGUAAAGAUACCUUGGUGCCUUCGGGAACCG
Molecule: ribosomal RNA, 425 nt
Filed under: uncultured Gammaproteobacteria bacterium
Lineage: Bacteria; Pseudomonadati; Pseudomonadota; Gammaproteobacteria
Description: bacterial SSU rRNA
Rfam family: Bacterial small subunit ribosomal RNA
Source: RNAcentral